AUUGAACGCUGGCGGCGUGGCUAAAGCAUGCAAGUCGAGCGAACCCGCAAGGGUGAGCGGCGGACGGGUUAGUAAUACGAUCGAACGUGCCCCGAGGUGGGGGAUAGGCGUGGGAAACUGCGCGUAAUACCCCAUGAUCUCUCCGGAGCAAAGGUUUACCGCCUUGGGAUCGGCGAUCGUCCUAUCAGCUAGUUGGCGGGGUAAAGGCCCACCAAGGCGAUGACGGGUAGCAGGUGUGAGAGCACGACCUGCAACAUCGGGACUGAGACACUGCCCGGACUCCUACGGGAGGCUGCAGCGACGAAUCUUCCGCAAUGGGCGCAAGCCUGACGGAGCGACGCCGCGUGUGGGAUGAAGCGCCUUCGGCGUGUAAACCACUGUCAGGGGGCAGAACCAAUGAUCGCCCCCAAAGGAAGAGACGGCUAACCCUGUGCCAGCAGCCGCGGUAAGACAGGGGUCUCGAGCGUUAAUCGGAAUUACUGGGCUUAAAGGGUGCGUAGGCGGCCGC
Molecule: ribosomal RNA, 508 nt
Filed under: uncultured bacterium
Lineage: Bacteria
Description: bacterial SSU rRNA
Rfam family: Bacterial small subunit ribosomal RNA
Source: RNAcentral